ACAACACAGCAGUAAAAAAGAUGUCAUCUUAUCAGAUGAAAAGGAACACAGGCCAACCAGACACCAUUUAUAGAGACUAAGCUUCAGAAGUGACAACUGAAGCCAAGACUCCUGGGGGAGGGAAUGUUGCUCACUGACCUCAAGCUGUUGCAACGUGAACUGCACGACAGCCUGCAAGGACCUGCUCUGCCAAAGAACCAUCCUGCCACGGCCUCCUGGCUGCCAGGCUGGUUUCCAGUGAGGAACACCUCAAGCAAAGCAAUUACUGAGUAAACCUGAACACACCAAAGGAGUAAACGACAGGUUACAACACCUAGAACAAGAUGCC
Pipra filicauda (Wire-tailed manakin) is the source of this 328-nucleotide long non-coding RNA. RefSeq lists it as uncharacterized. The transcript has 3 exons. Lineage: Eukaryota; Metazoa; Chordata; Aves; Passeriformes; Pipridae. The record is from RefSeq and is a predicted model, not a curated record.